RNAcentral lists this transfer RNA (73 nucleotides) under Mus musculus (house mouse). RNAcentral describes it as "tRNA-Ser". Lineage: Eukaryota; Metazoa; Chordata; Mammalia; Rodentia; Muridae. The record is from RNAcentral.
GGAGAGAUGGCUCAGCGGUUAAGAGCACUGACUGCUCUUCCAGAGGUCUUGAGUUCAAUUCCCAGCAACCACA